GAAAGAUUAAUAAAUGUAAAAGGAACUCGGCAAACUUAAACCCCGCCUGUUUACCAAAAACAUCACCUCUAGCAUUACCAGUAUUAGAGGCACCGCCUGCCCAGUGACGCAAGUUAAACGGCCGCGGUAUCCUGACCGUGCAAAGGUAGCAUAAUAAUUUGUUCCUUAAUUAGGGACUUGUAUGAAUGGCAUCACGAGGGUUUAACUGUCUCUUACAUUCGAUCAAUGAAAUUGACCUUUCCGUGAAGAGGCGGAAAUAACACAAUAAGACGAGAAGACCCUAUGGAGCUUAAAUUAAUAUUCCAACUUAAACAACUUCAAAUCUAAUCGAUGUAAAAUCUGCAACCACUGGAAUAAACAUUUUGGUUGGGGUGACCUCGGAGCAUAAAAAAACCUCCGAAGGACUAACAUUAAGACCAACUAGUCCAAAUUAUAAAUGUCCAAAUAUUGACCCAGAAAUAUUCUGAUCAUGAACCAAGUUACCCUAGGGA
This 491-nucleotide non-coding RNA is filed under the name Dipodomys ordii (Ord's kangaroo rat). RNAcentral's name for it is "Eukaryotic large subunit ribosomal RNA". It matches the Rfam family "Bacterial large subunit ribosomal RNA", at positions 1688 to 2474 of the family's 2925-position model. Lineage: Eukaryota; Metazoa; Chordata; Mammalia; Rodentia; Heteromyidae. The record is from Rfam by way of RNAcentral.